Molecule: non-coding RNA, 252 nt
Filed under: Gossypium arboreum
Lineage: Eukaryota; Viridiplantae; Streptophyta; Magnoliopsida; Malvales; Malvaceae
Source: RNAcentral
GCCGUGUACAAUGAAAAAUGCAAGCACGGUUUGGGGAGGGAUUUUUUUCUUUUAAUUUCAAUUUAUUUAAUUGAAACAAGGAAAUUAUCUACUCCAUCCGACUAGUUCCGGGUUUGAGUCCCGGGCGAUGAUCAGUAGCUGGUCUGAGAGGAUGAUCAGCCACACUAGGACUGAGACACGGCCCAGACUCCUACGGGAGGCAACAGUUGGGAAUUUUCCGUAAUGGGCGAAAGCCUGACGGAGCAAUGCUGC